GACGAACGCUGGCGGCGUGCCUAAUACAUGCAAGUAGAACGCUGAAGAGAGGAGCUUGCUCUUCUUGGAUGAGUUGCGAACGGGUGAGUAACGCGUAGGUAACCUGCCUUGUAGCGGGGGAUAACUAUUGGAAACGAUAGCUAAUACCGCAUAACAAUGGCUGACACAUGUCAUGUAUUUGAAAGGGGCAAUUGCUCCACUACAAGAUGGACCUGCAUUGUAUUAGCUAGUAGGUGAGGUAACGGCUCACCUAGGCGACGAUACAUAGCCGACCUGAGAGGGUGAUCGGCCACACUGGGACUGAGACACGGCCCAGAAUCCGACGGGAGGCAGCAGCAGGGAAUCUUCGGCAAUGGGGGCAACCCUGACCGAGCAACGCCGCGUGAGUGAAGAAGGUUUUCGGAUCGUAAAGCUCUGUUGUAAGUCAAGAACGAGUGUGAGAGUGGAAAGUUCACACUGUGACGGUAGCUUACCAGAAAGGGACGGCUAACUACGUG
Molecule: ribosomal RNA, 497 nt
Filed under: uncultured bacterium
Lineage: Bacteria
Description: partial 16S ribosomal RNA
Rfam family: Bacterial small subunit ribosomal RNA
Source: RNAcentral